RNAcentral lists this transfer RNA (168 nucleotides) under Tetrabrachium ocellatum (four-armed frogfish). RNAcentral's name for it is "tRNA-Ile". The stretch from base 101 to 168 matches the Rfam family "tRNA". Lineage: Eukaryota; Metazoa; Chordata; Actinopteri; Lophiiformes; Tetrabrachiidae. The record is from RNAcentral.
AGAUUUAAACAUUUAAAUUGGAAAUGCGUGGUGGGUUUGGUAGUUUGGGGGGGGGGGAGGUUGUUUAGGGUGUGAUCAUUUAUUUUAUUGUGUGUAUAGGGGAGUUGUGCCUGAACAAAGGGUUACUUUGAUAGGGUAAAUUAUGGGGUUAAAAUCCCUCCGGCUCUU